Molecule: ribosomal RNA, 253 nt
Filed under: uncultured bacterium
Lineage: Bacteria
Description: partial 16S ribosomal RNA
Rfam family: Bacterial small subunit ribosomal RNA
Source: RNAcentral
UACGUAGGGUGCAGGCGUUAAUCGGAAUUACUGGGCGUAAAGAGCGCGCAGGCGGUCGUUCAAGUCGCGUGUGAAAGCCCCCGGCUCAACUGGGGAGGGUCACGCGAUACUGAUCGACUCGAAGGCAGGAGAGGGUAGUGGAAUUCCCGGUGUAGUGGUGAAAUGCGUAGAUAUCGGGAGGAACACCAGUGGCGAAGGCGACUACCUGGCCUGUUCUUGACGCUGAGGCGCGAAAGCUAGGGGAGCGAACAGG